AAAGAAAUUGGGGCUGAUGCUGUGUGUAGGUGAAAAGAAAACGUGUGUGGUUGAGUGGGUUUUUUUUUUAAGGGGGGUCUUUUUUAUAUUCAUUUUCUUUUUAAAGGAAGGAAAGGGAUACGGUUUUUUUUUUUUCCGUGUGUGUGUUUUUAGUGGUUUUCUUUUUGACUUACCUGCUCUUCCUGUGUUUUCUCGUGUAAGGGAUGAAUGAAGGUUAAUGUGGGAAGAUAGUUUUUUUUUUCUCUCUCUCUCUCUCCCUCUCUUUCUCUCUUUCAAUUUCUUUUUAUUUUCCUUUUUUAUCGUCAGUUUCAUUUUCUCUCCCCCUCCGUUUGCUUCCUCGUUUUGAUUUUGGCCUUUCCUGUUUAUUUUUUCAGGUUAAUUAGAAGCUGGAUCAUUUCAUCUCUCAUUAGCACAGUGCCAGAUGCAGAAACUCAAUCAGCCAGCCAGCCAAACAACCAACACACGCAUUCACACCACCACCACCACCACCACCACCACCACCACCAUCAUCA
Scylla paramamosain (green mud crab) is the source of this 512-nucleotide long non-coding RNA. RefSeq lists it as uncharacterized. The record is from RefSeq and is a predicted model, not a curated record. The transcript has 2 exons. Lineage: Eukaryota; Metazoa; Arthropoda; Malacostraca; Decapoda; Portunidae.